Molecule: long non-coding RNA, 8728 nt
Organism: Falco peregrinus (peregrine falcon)
Lineage: Eukaryota; Metazoa; Chordata; Aves; Falconiformes; Falconidae
Exons: 3
Source: RefSeq, a predicted model, not a curated record
AAACUCAUGUUGUCUGGAGACCACGCCUUGGAGUUAAUGAGGGAAUGGGAAAAUAAUCUAGACAUCGGUGAGGAAUGCAAUACGUAACAAGAAUCAAGUAACCCUGCUACUACCUGCCAGCAGGCUGAAACCAGUGAAGCACAAGAAAGCUCUGCCAGUUACAAUGAUAACAUAGAACCUGGUGCAGAAAUUGAAAGAGAGAAAGGGGGCAACAAACCCUCCACAGCAGCAGACCAGAGCCAUGUUCAGGAUCGUUUCACUGAUGCCAGUUCUCUAGAGCCUUUUUAAGCCUCCAAAGCAUAUCAGCAGAUUGCUUCAGCUCCUUCAUUCUUGUUUCAUGGACUGGCAAGAAAAAACGUAGCACACCUGUCUUACCAAACGUAACUCUUGGGAACGAGAAUACAGCCCUCGAGACCUACAGUGUUAGAUAAAUCUUCGAGUAAAAGUUGGACUUUGUCUAGUGAAGACCAUUGACACUAUCUUGGCUAAAUUUUAACCAUGAAACACACCAAAGAGAUACCAAAGAGCAUCAUUUUUAUGAGAGAUGAAGAUACAAUUCUUCAUCUCUCGUUUUUAUAAUAUGAAGAUACCAUUUUAAACUGUGUUUGAAUACUGUGAUGAGUUAAUAUGUGUAAUUUUGACUCAGAAAAUAGUUAGUGAAGAUUAAAGUCAAGAAAAUAGUCAUAUAAAGUUGUUAAAGCAAGAAAGUUCUGUCUCAGAAAGAUUGGAUUUAAAAUGUACAGGUACGAAGCUUGUCUCUGUGUACUGUAGGAGAGAAAAAAUUACCAUUUCUGUAUGAUCUUAUUUUUACAUACGAUAUAUAUCACAAUAUAUGUUAUACAGUAUGGUACAGUUACACUAGAAUAGUAUUUUGUAAUUCUUCUCUGUUGCACCACUUUGCUCAUAUUGGUGUUCUUCCCACCUUUUUAGUGUGUUUAUAAAGUUGUGGUCAUUAUUUUUAUUUUUUAAAAUGUAGUCCCCUGCAGGUAGGUCAGUAUCUCCAGUAUCAAAUUCAAAGUGGAAUCAGGAUUGCCAGGAAAAAAAGGGAGAAUUGGACAAGUCCUUGGUGCCUUCCACCAGUGAACCAGGAAAUAAAAGCCUACUGACUUCUGCUGUUGCAUUCAGAACCAAAAAGAAAUCGUAGGGCAACCAUCAACUCCAAACAGCUUAAGAGUAAACAACUAUUACUUGUGUCAGAAUGAGCAGACCAUAUAAAGAUGGACAAAUCUAUCCUGAAGUGUUUGCCUCUAGUCUCCUGAACCCUUUAAUCAGAAAGCUUUAGCUUUCCUUUAGCACUGAAGAAAAUCUAACAGCAGUGUGAACUCCUAACCUCUAAGAGGACAUCCACUGAGAGUAUUUUUGUCAGAGUACAAAUUACAGAAUUGUCUAAAAAUGUAUGUGAUUUACCUGUUCUAUACUAAUAAGCACCAUGCCAGGUAGGCAGCUGGCUUUCACAAAUCCAUUUUGCUGUGUUUUACUUACGUUUACUUUCUUUCCUUUUAUCACAAAUGUUUAGGGGCAAAAAAAUGAGGCCAGAAUCUGUAAUAGGGAUUCCCAAGCACUGGAUGCUUUACACCCUGAGAAUAUUCUGAGAAAUUGCUUAUAAAUUUGCCUGAGGCAUUACAGCAGAAGUGCUCCAGUCUAUGGAAUUUGUUACUGCUAUUUUAGGUUGCCGUCAAUUGCUUAUUUUUAAACAGAACUUAUUUUAAGCUUGAUGAAUAGGAAAUGUAUUUUUAAGUACAAUGGAAUUGCUAUGGUUCUCACUACUGAAUUUCUGGUGUGUUGAUUAAAUUCUUUAAAUAAAACAGGUGUUAGAGUAAUGGCCUUUACAAGUUAAUUAAUCUUCAUUUUCAAAAGGAUGAGCUACCAUUAAGCUUAGGUUUAUUAUACAUAUGUGUAAAUUGCAAUGUGAUUUACUGUUCCAAAGACAAAGCCACUCCCUAAGGACAGGUCUUUCCCAUAGACUGGCGUUGUGGUACAUGGUGUGAGCAAAAUAUACACACUCCUGGCUGGUUGAAAACAUUUCCUUAAAUAUAUGUACAUUCUGUGUUAUGGCUUAUUCAAGCAGUUAUGCUGAGAAUAUCAGUCUGAGGAGACAUCACCUACUUAAAUAUCUUCUGAUCUCCACAAUAAUCUUAAAAUUCCUCUUACAGCCAUUACAACCUUGACUUCAUUGAGGCGUGAAGUAUUCCUAUUAGAGGGCCAAAAUCUUUCUCUGUACAUAGGUGAAAACUUGGAGAGAUCUGAUUUACAGUAAACGAAGAAAGAGCUUUUUGACCAUAUAAUAUUAGAAGGGUAAUAUAUCACUCUCAUUCUCAAUGAAGAGUAUAGCUGUCUGUAUAAUCAGGCACCUUUUUGGGAGAAUUAAUCUUCUAGUUUCUGUUUUUCAAAUCAAAGUCAAGUCUGUUGAGGAGCUGGGCACAAAAGGUGUAUUCCACCAAAUGUGGUGACCGUAAGAAAGUCAGAUUUCUAUACUUUUCAGACAGACUUCAGCAAGAAUUUCACUUUAAACAGGAAGUUGUCCUUUCUUUCUCUUUUUGUUGUGUGCUCACACAGUAGUGAAGUCUACUUCACAUACAAGCUCUAAUAGUCACACUGUUUUUAUUUGAUGUGGUUCAAAUCUUUUACAAAGUCCAGACUGCUUUCUGCUUCUUGUGACACCAGAAUGUUAGGUCAGACUGUGGCCUGAAUAACUGUCUCCUCAGCUAUUAACCGACACCGCUCAUUCUUUUCAUUUAGUGAGACAGUCGCUUGAAGGGCAUGUCUGGACUUACUAUUAAAACAGUGGCUGCAUCAUUAGCCAAGCUCAUGGCAGUCCUACCCCAUCACCACAGCUGCUCAGCAGUAAACUCCUUUCCCUGACAGGGCAUGGUAUUGAGGGUGCUGGUAUUCUGUUACCAGGCGCACUUUUUUGUAACACAGAUAAAAUUUCCAGAAGCCCAGCAGACACGCUGCCGUUUUCUACCACCCCUACUCUUUUGAACCAAGGAAGCUCGAAAAUGCACUGCUUCGCAUCAAAGGGUUAUGUCAUUUUUACAGCACUAGCAGAGCACAAUAAGCAUAAUUUACCUUUAAAGAGUGAGCUAUUUACUUGUCUUGGUUGCAUUCCCCUAUCCUGAGAUAUUAAAUUAUUUCCCAGCUGUCGAUCUUUAGGUAUUUUGGUUAGAGCACACAUUUUGUGGCUGGCUUCUCAACAGACUUGACUUUGAUAUCACCCGUUUGACUGUCCUUUACAUUCCUGGAUUUAUUUUGUACAUUGUUCUGUUUCGCCUAGGUACGUUUCUGCUUCCACGACUCCUCAUGCUUUUUGCCACAGACCAGAUGGAUGCCCUGUGUUGCCCCGUGUGUCAAAUAUGUCCAGUGUUGUCCCAAUAUAUCAGUGGAUUUUGAUGAUGUACAGUGGAGGGCUGUGGGGCUCACAUGGAAGAGGGCAGCAGCCUGUCAGAUCCAUGGCUUGUAACUGCCUCCUGCCCAACACGGAGUUUUAUCAGGGAAAGAAGGGAGUGAGGAAUUAGGAAUGUGUCCUGAAGGUGGUGAUGCCAGAAUGUUUGUGGAUGGGAGCGGUUGAGCUUGUGUUGGAAUUGCAGAAGAGUAGAACAUCAUCUACCCAAAGGCUGGAGAAGAAGCUUUCAUUAUGUGUGUGACUCCUAGUGUUAAAACUCUUGUCAAACAAAACAGAGCUCUUACAAUAUGCUCCAAGCGUUUUUCCUUUUUCUUCCUUAUCCUCUUUUUUCUUUAUGCCUUUUUUUCACUCCUUUUCAAUACCUACAUUUUCUCUGUUGAUUUUUUUCAUUUGUCAAAAGAUUUCUUUUCUUCUUCCACAAAUCUCUUUCUUGUCGUGCCUUUUGAUGUGGCUUUUCUCCAUGUUUCCCUUUCAACCCUCAGAGCUUACUUUAGUCUCUUCACUGUAUUUGCUACGUGGAGGAGCACUAUUGAAAAAUUAAAAGUAGAUUGCAUGGGAAUUUCUUAUUUCUCCUUUUCCUCUAGAGACCUGUUUCUCUUCCCUCCUAUUUCUAUGAAGUUUACCAUCCUCAAAUGCUUCCUUCCUCUACUUCAAAAUCAUUUAACUCAUCUUUCCCUCUAUUCCUCUUUCCUUCCACUUCAUCUUCCCCUUCACUUAUGUUGCUUGAUAUUUAACUUCUCAGGUGGAGUGAGAAUUCAUGGUAGCAUUCACAUUACCGUGUUGUGGAUAAAUAAUCUGAUCUGUAUCUCAGCCUUACUGACAAACACUUAACUUUCCGAUUGCAUCUGUACUGGCUUUUUGUUCCAUUUUUUCUUGUUACACACUCAGUAACAUAGUUAGGUUGGCAGUAUUAACUGCUACAGCCACGUUAUAACGACAGUCUCGUCUAACCCGUUACAGAUCAGGUCUGUAUGACAUUGUGAUUUAAACAGCGGUUGCUGGCAGCCUAUCUCUGCUUGUCCUCCUAUUAUUGCAACCACCAGUAGAGCUGUUCUACUGGGAAAUUUCAAGUGUAGACAAAGCUUUAAUCAACAGUAAUCUGAUCCUUUAAAAAUGCAACACCAAUUCAUUUAUUUCUCGUUUCACAUAUGAAAUUUUAAUAGGUACAAUCACCCUUAAGGAUGUUUCAAAUAUUAACAUGAUGCACAAUUACAAAACAGAAUCUUUUUUCUGUAUGGAACUAUCAGCAUCUUUGAACCAAGUAAGUAGUUUUCUGUGCAGACAUCAGGUUUACUAUCAAUCAGAAACUUAUUAACAGCUGUGUUAUCCCUAAUUAAGUGCAAAGCAAUGGCAGACUUUUUAAUUAAGUCUUAUUUUCCUGAGAGGAGACUGGUGGGGUUUUUUUUCCUUCUCUUCUCCACCUCCAUUCUUAUUUACUGUGCAAAGCCCGCUUUAAAAAUAACUGGGACACAAGAUGGGGCCAUUGACAAGGGGCCAAGAUACCAGGAAAUACUUCCUUUACAGAAUGGCUGUGUGAUUAUACUGGCCAUAUUUCCUUCGGCUUUGUAAAAUAAUCUGAAAUUUUAAAAUUUUCUUGUGGUGUUUUUCAUUUGGAUUUCUUUUUUUAGUUCUGUUCUUGUCUGAAGGGUAUCUCCUCUAUUGUCAGUGUCAGCAAAAGUAUUAUUGCAAUUAAUUUUAGUGUAUAAAUUCAUUUGAGAGAGAGGGGAGAGGCAUGACAUCAUAUGCACCAAAAAACGGUCCUUGUUGACUGAGUAGACCUCUGGGUGUGUACUACAGUGAAGAAAGUACAUAGUUGCUACGGGAAAGAACUGGCCUUGCAGGUAAAUUGAAGUUUAAGUCUCUGCGGGUGUUUUAUUUUCUUAGUCCUGAGCAGUGCUGAGUGAUAUAUACAUACUCGUGAAGGAGGAAGAGAAGUACCCUGAAAACUUUCUUAAUCUGCACUUCCUACCUGGCAGUAUUUAAUCUGGAGAUCUUCUGUAACCACAGUUGCUGGAUCGUUACUUUGCUCAGAGGGUAAGCAGUGUGUACAUGUAGGAGGGCAGACUAAUCUCAUACUGCUCUUGACAGUAUUUUCAAGUAUGAAUAUUUUUAUUUACAGGUAUAGAAAUGCCUUCUGUGUUCAGCGUAUCUGAGAGACAAGAUGGCUAAAGGCAAAUUCUGACCUUGGUGUGCUGAUAGUUUACACCAAGGACUUCAGUGAAAUGCUGAUGGUUUACAUGGGGUGAGGAUCUGUCCCUUACAGUUUAAAGAGAGUGUGGAUCACCACAUGAUAGGAAUUUCAGGGCAGAAGAGGAUCAAGCCGUUGCCCAGCAAGUUUAAAAGGAGCAGUAGGUCACUGGAACCUAAAAGCCAUAGAAACUCCUGGCGUUGCCUAGCUAGCCUUCCACUGAGCUCUGGGGAGCAGGAACUGUCAUUUUCUGAGGGUUUACAGAGUGCUUGUUGCAACCUGAGCUGGCUUGAACCUAAGACACUGUUGUAAUGUAAGCACUGAGGCCAGUAAAAUCAUGGUAAUGGUUGUGGAACCACAAUAGCUUUAAAAUGCGGUGUCUCAAUUAUGGCAGCAAGUAAAAGUCUAGGUAUAGCAGCUCCUCAUUUAUGGGUGUGCAGGUAUGUCCUAAUUGUUUGUCAUAUAGCAUGACAAAAAUUAAAAGGGCAACACUGUUUGACUCCUGCUUUGUGAAGCAAGCCAGUUAAUUUUUUGCAGCUACACCUAUUGCGUGGUUUCUUUGUUGUUUCCGGCAGAGAUUCUUGAUUUGUAUAUUUAGAAGUUUCUGUUUAGUAGUCCAUAUGUGGCACACUUUGGUUCAUUGCAGUCAGAGGGCUUAAUGAAUGACUACUGUUUAUGUGUUGUCUGGCUGUUAAAGCUUCAUCCAUAUUUGUGUCUAACCCCAGCUUUGUUUCCAGGAAGAAAGCAACUGAGAUAAUGCCCAGGCCUAUUUAAAAAGAGAAUAUUUUUUUUUAUAAUGGUUAUGGAUCAUUUUUAUACUUAAUAUUGUCUUGAAAACAUUGGACCUAUAGGCUUCAGGAAUGUCCAAGUCUGAUCACUUUUGUUCUGUUACUUUCAUAAAAAAAGCAGAAAUAAGCUUAUGAAUUUCUUCCACUUCUGCUCUCUGACUCUCUUCCACUUACAUUAGGCUUAUAUUCAUAGUGUAAGAAAAGUUUAGGUCCUCUGAAGAUUAAAUAAAAAAAGUGCUAUUUUAAUUCUUUUGAUGGCAAUAGCAAUGAUAGGUUAAGGUGUGAUCCUUGACAUCCCAACAGAAUGCUCCAAGGUGCUCUGGACCAGGCAGCUGCUUGUGGCCAGAGCUCUGCAAGCAGCUGCUGUGUGGUACGGAGGAACUGGUGCGGCAGGAAGGACUUUCUUGGAAGAAGGACCAGAAUUUGCAUGAGAGUAUGGCUUUGCUGGAAGUAAGUUGAAGGUAGCACCCUCUUCUUGGGUUUGUCCCCUAUUUGGGUUAACUGAGGCCUCGGAAGGGGUAAACAUCUAGUACAGUAACAUUCCUGAAGCUUCUUCCCCCUUUCCAUCUCAAAUACGUGCUUUCCAAAGGUGGAAGUUUGCCGUGGUAACUCCUAGAUUGCUAAGAGCUCUCAACACUCAGCUUGGGCUAUUCUUCUAUGUCAAGUGAGGAGUUGCUUUGCUUUUCUGUCCCAACCAAAUAUAUUAAGAAGCACUAUAAACGAUGCAGUAUUUAUCCAAAUAACUGCUGGUUUCUGGUAACAUCUGGAUUUAAUGAAUUAAGUCUUAAUUAAAACGUGUUAAAAGUGAAGGUGUCUUUCAUGUUGAUAACGUAAAGAAGUGCAGUUUAUCGUGCCUACAUUUACAAUUUGCAUGAAAAACAGAAAAGUAUUGUGCAAGCAUUCAGAGCCUGCAAAUAAAAGAUGGUGAUCAAAAUAAUUACUUCUUUCCCAUAAGUAAGUGGUUUACUAAUAAUCUAUAAAGAUACAAGGGUAGGGCAGCCAUAAUCUCAGUGUGACUGUUGAAGAAUGCAUUAUGGAGUCAUUGGAGGCUUCUUAGCAUUAACUAGGAAACACUUUGGGAAAGAUGGCGUAUCUCUACAUACUGUGAAAGAACAGGAGACUGUGGGGUGAAAGAACAGGAAGAGAAAACAGCGGCACGGGGUGACUGCUGUUACAGGUAUCUGAUAAGGAAAGAGAACUGCACUUAGCCUGAAUGAGGAGAGUCAGCAAGAACAUCACUGAAAGAGAUAAGAGGACUCUCAUCUCCCUUUUCUCCCUUUAUUUAUUCAGUGAGUUUCAGUCCUUGCAGAAAGCACCUGGUUGACAGCUCUGUACCUUGCAGUCCUUGGUUUAUUCCCAGCAGGGUUUACAGUACAGACACCUACAGCACCAGUUUCCCCCCUUUGCUCUCCUAACGGGUAAUGUAGGGCAUGCUUUUAUUUCCAAGGUGUGCUCAGUCAUGGGCCUGUCUGCCCGCUUCUGCAGCAGCGUGGGUACAGGCUGGGGUGUCUGGCAGGCUUGGAGGCUGGACUAAAAUGAGGCAGCUAAUGUCGUUACUGCCCCAGUCAUCGUCCCCACUCUUUGGUGGAUGUUACCACCCCUGAGGCAGUGAUGUCUAAGCCACUCAUGAAUCAAUUAUUGAACUGUCGCAUUUUUCAGCCUGGCCUAUUAAAUUAAACUGACAUCAGUCUCAUCUCACAAAGACAUUAGAUAGUGAUGAAUUUCAGGUACUGUUAACCUGGUUUUGAAUUGGCCAGCUAGAGACAGACAUUCAUUUUUCAUUCCAGCUGCCAGAACCACUGUCAUGUCCUAUCUUGCUGUUGCUGUUGCGGCUUGUUGAUCAAUGGGCAGCCUGCCUUGCUAGCUCCUGAGAAGGGGCAAUUUCAUAAGGAGAAAGGGAGCAUAAGGAAGCCAGGAAGGUCAAAACCUGGAUUUUUUUCUCUUUGUUAGAACUGUGAGGAAGAGUGCGUAUGUAAACAGUGAGAUUGGCUUGCUGGUUAAAAAAAAAAGCUAUACUGGAAGAAAAGGCACAAUAAUGCCUAUAUGGACUUAAAAAGGCACCACGUGGAAUGAAUGCAAUUCAAGUUAAAGGAGCUUAAAUCCGUGGAAAAAUGGGAAAAUAUUGCAUGUUGCCAACGGCCUGCAGUACACCUACUGUGUAUAAGCCCUGCUUGCUUUGCUGUGCUUCCACUCACCGGGCACACCUGCUAAGGAAGCUGUGGAAACCUUUUACUGCAGCUUGUUAAAAGGUGCAAGGUCCUCAGACUGCUCUGAGCCAAACUUGCAUGUGUGUGGCUUCGUCUGUACUUGUUCCCUUCCUGGAUUCUGGUUUUAUUGGUAACUGAAAUA